CUAACAAUGUAUAUGAGGACUUUCUGAGAAUUUUCUACAUGGGAAUUUAAGUCAUUUUAAAAUAAAGACACUUAUUUUUUCUUUCAAUCUUUUUGCCUUUACUUGCCUUUUUCCUCCUUUAUUUCUUUAUUAUCCAUGGGUCAAGAUGAUGAAAUGAAAGUGGUGAUAUUUAACAUGCUUAUAAUUUUAAAGGGAAUGUUACUAAUUUUUCUUCAUUAAUGACAUAUUUCGCUGUAGAUUUCUCAUAGAACCUAUUACAAAGUUUAGUUUACCAACCUAUUACCAUAUUUCAUUGUAGAUUUAUUGUAGAACCCAUUACCAAAUUCCUUUCAAUCUAUUCCUAGAAUAACAUUUUUCCCAAAAUUAUGCUUUGAACUUUGUCAUUUUUUUUUACCAUCAAAUGAAAUACACACACACACACACAUACACACACACACACACACACGCAAUUUCUUACUGUGGGGAAUAGCAGUUACACAUUUUCUAAUAAUAGACACACCUUACUUUUUAGGAUAAAUAUACUUUGGCCCAGGAGUUUUAUCUUUGUUUAUCUUAUUCCCAUAUGAAUUGUCAUAGCUUCAUCUGAAUUUUCUAGUAGUAUUGGCCUGAUUACACUGUCCUUGUGAAUUCUGAUGUAAAAGCUAGACUGUCCUCAUAGAAAAAGUGGAGGUAUGCAUUUUUUUCAAUUAUCUGUUCACCAAAAGAUGUCUUUUUUAUGUCUGAAAUGUUCUGUUCUUAAAAAGAGAUUAGCUGGUACUCCCACUAAACUAUUGUUUAAAUUUCUUUA
Molecule: long non-coding RNA, 787 nt
Filed under: Pan troglodytes (chimpanzee)
Lineage: Eukaryota; Metazoa; Chordata; Mammalia; Primates; Hominidae
Description: lincRNA
Source: RNAcentral